AUGCGUGGCAUUGACGGCCAUGGGGGAGGUGACUGCGGGCGAAAUUUGGCGCGCCCCGCGAGGCCCCGGCUGUGCUCCACCAUAGUUGCGCCGGGCGACCCUGCCGUCGCCCCUAGUGAAGGUCAGGCACGCGGGGUCUGCCACCCGCCAGCUUCGCCUGCCCGCAGCGCGAGCCUUGAGUGGACGCUGGUGCUCUCUCGGCGUGCCCAGACUCUGGCAUGGUGCCAGGAAGAUCAAUCGCGGCAGCGGGCAAGAGAUCCGGCGCAGCUGCGGCAGCACCAUGAUGAGCGCCCUGCCCUCUCCCCUGCCGAGGCAUUCAAGAGGCGAUUCAGGAACUGCUGCUACCGAUGUCUUGGCUCCAGACACAAGUUCUACGAGUGCCGCGACCCUCAAAUUGCUACACUUGCAAGCGAACGGGCCAUCUGGAGCGUGAGUGCCCUGCCCGUCGGCUCAAGCACUCUGCUCUGGCUGCCCCUCCGCCAACUGCCACCGCCGCCGCCUCUCCAGCUUCUUGCCGGCCGGCGGCGCCCCCUCCCCCUAGCGGCCAAGCGCCGUCCUACAGCGCUGCCAUCGUUGGAAGCUCGCAGGACCGCGGCGCCGUCCUCCCGAUGGCCGCGGUGGACAUGCCAGGCGCUGCGCACCGCGGGCUUGCCACAUCGACCUGCGCCGUGGUCAGCACCCCGGCGAUGGAGGAGGAAUCCUACCGCCUGCGCACCACGGCGCUGCUGCUCACUGCCUCCGGCCCUUGCUCCGGCAUCUCCGCGAACAUGGUGGCCGAGGCCGUGGAGCACGACCACGGCUUCCCGUGGCGCGACAUCGACCUUGCCCCCUGCUUUCCGGAGGACUUCCCGCUGGUCCUGUCGGAGCGUCGCCAGCGCGACCUCGUUUUCGAGCGGCGCCAGGUGGUGGUUGCCGGCGUCAAGUUUCUGCUGCGGCCCUGGUUCCCACUGCCGGGUGGCAAUAGGGUGUGGCGGUUCUACUGUAGAGUCGCCAUUGACCGCCUCCCCCUCAACGCGUGGGACUGGGACAAUGUUCAGGAAGUCAUUUGCAAGCAGUGCAAGCUGGACCUCAUCGAGCGACAGUCGACAACCAAGACCAACCGCACGGCCCUCUUUGCUUGGCUAUGGACCUGGGACCCUGACCUAA
Molecule: ribosomal RNA, 1146 nt
Filed under: Triticum aestivum (bread wheat)
Lineage: Eukaryota; Viridiplantae; Streptophyta; Magnoliopsida; Poales; Poaceae
Description: partial small subunit ribosomal RNA
Source: RNAcentral